Molecule: ribosomal RNA, 1194 nt
Filed under: Staphylococcus aureus
Lineage: Bacteria; Bacillati; Bacillota; Bacilli; Caryophanales; Staphylococcaceae
Description: partial 23S ribosomal RNA
Rfam family: Bacterial large subunit ribosomal RNA
Source: RNAcentral
AAUGAACCGGCGAGUUACGAUUUGAUGCAAGGUUAAGCAGUAAAUGUGGAGCCGUAGCGAAAGCGAGUCUGAAUAGGGCGUUUAGUAUUUGGUCGUAGACCCGAAACCAGGUGAUCUACCCUUGGUCAGGUUGAAGUUCAGGUAACACUGAAUGGAGGACCGAACCGACUUACGUUGAAAAGUGAGCGGAUGAACUGAGGGUAGCGGAGAAAUUCCAAUCGAACCUGGAGAUAGCUGGUUCUCUCCGAAAUAGCUUUAGGGCUAGCCUCAAGUGAUGAUUAUUGGAGGUAGAGCACUGUUUGGACGAGGGGCCCCUCUCGGGUUACCGAAUUCAGACAAACUCCGAAUGCCAAUUAAUUUAACUUGGGAGUCAGAACAUGGGUGAUAAGGUCCGUGUUCGAAAGGGAAACAGCCCAGACCACCAGCUAAGGUCCCAAAAUAUAUGUUAAGUGGAAAAGGAUGUGGCGUUGCCCAGACAACUAGGAUGUUGGCUUAGAAGCAGCCAUCAUUUAAAGAGUGCGUAAUAGCUCACUAGUCGAGUGACACUGCGCCGAAAAUGUACCGGGGCUAAACAUAUUACCGAAGCUGUGGAUUGUCCUUUGGACAAUGGUAGGAGAGCGUUCUAAGGGCGUUGAAGCAUGAUCGUAAGGACAUGUGGAGCGCUUAGAAGUGAGAAUGCCGGUGUGAGUAGCGAAAGACGGGUGAGAAUCCCGUCCACCGAUUGACUAAGGUUUCCAGAGGAAGGCUCGUCCGCUCUGGGUUAGUCGGGUCCUAAGCUGAGGCCGACAGGCGUAGGCGAUGGAUAACAGGUUGAUAUUCCUGUACCACCUAUAAUCGUUUUAAUCGAUGGGGGGACGCAGUAGGAUAGGCGAAGCGUGCGAUUGGAUUGCACGUCUAAGCAGUAAGGCUGAGUAUUAGGCAAAUCCGGUACUCGUUAAGGCUGAGCUGUGAUGGGGAGAAGACAUUGUGUCUUCGAGUCGUUGAUUUCACACUGCCGAGAAAAGCCUCUAGAUAGAAAAUAGGUGCCCGUACCGCAAACCGACACAGGUAGUCAAGAUGAGAAUUCUAAGGUGAGCGAGCGAACUCUCGUUAAGGAACUCGGCAAAAUGACCCCGUAACUUCGGGAGAAGGGGUGCUCUUUAGGGUUAACGCCCAGAAGAGCCGCAGUGAAUAGGCCCAAGCGACUGUUUAUCA